Toxocara canis (dog roundworm) is the source of this 72-nucleotide transfer RNA. It matches the Rfam family "tRNA". From Rfam's summary of the family: Transfer RNA (tRNA) molecules are approximately 80 nucleotides in length. Their secondary structure includes four short double-helical elements and three loops (D, anti-codon, and T loops). Further hydrogen bonds mediate the characteristic L-shaped molecular structure. tRNAs have two regions of fundamental functional importance: the anti-codon, which is responsible for specific mRNA codon recognition, and the 3' end, to which the tRNAs corresponding amino acid is attached (by aminoacyl-tRNA synthetases). tRNAs cope with the degeneracy of the genetic code in two manners: having more than one tRNA (with a specific anti-codon) for a particular amino acid; and 'wobble' base-pairing, i.e. permitting non-standard base-pairing at the 3rd anti-codon position. The record is from Rfam. NCBI's taxonomy places the organism in Eukaryota, Metazoa, Nematoda, Chromadorea, Rhabditida, Toxocaridae.
CGGGCAGUAGCUCAGUGGUAGAGCUCCCGAUUCUUAUGUGGGAAGACCCGGGUUCGAUUCUCGGCUGCUUUC